This 373-nucleotide ribosomal RNA is filed under the name Symbiodinium sp. CCMP2430. RNAcentral describes it as "partial Bacterial large subunit ribosomal RNA". It matches the Rfam family "Bacterial large subunit ribosomal RNA", at positions 1685 to 2041 of the family's 2925-position model. The record is from RNAcentral. Lineage: Eukaryota; Dinophyceae; Suessiales; Symbiodiniaceae.
GGCGCUUGAGAGAACUCGGGUGAAGGAACUCGGCAAAAUGGUACCGUAACUUCGGGAGAAGGUACGCCUCUGUUUGUGAACACUUCGCGUGGUAAGCAAAUGGAGGCCGCAGUGACCAGGUGGCUGGGACUGUUUAUUAAAAACACAGCACUCUGCAAACUCGUAAGAGGACGUAUAGGGUGUGACACCUGCCCGGUGCCGGAAGGUUAAUUGAUGGGGUUAGUUUUCGGACGAAGCUCUUGAUCGAAGCCCCGGUAAACGGCGGCCGUAACAAUAACGGUCCUAAGGUAGCGAAAUUCCUUGUCGGGUAAGUUCCGACCUGCACGAAUGGUGUAACCAUGGCCACGCUGUCUCCACCCGAGACUCAGUGAAA